AAAAUGCGAUAAGUAAUGUGAAUUGCAGAAUUCAGUGAAUCAUCGAAUCUUUGAACGCACAUUGCACCCGCCAGUAUUCUGGCGGGCAUGCCUGUUCGAGCGUCAUUUCAACCCUCAAGCCCCCGGGUUUGGUGUUGGGGAUCGGGCUGCGGUUCUACCGCGUCCCGGCCCCGAAAUCUAGUGGCGGUCUCGCUACAGCCUCCAUUGCGUAGUAGCUAACACCUCGCAACUGGAACGCGGCGCGGCCAAGCCGUUAAACCCCCAACUUCUGAAUGUUGACCUCGGAUCAGGUAGGAAUACCCGCUGAACUUAAGC
RNAcentral lists this unclassified non-coding RNA (315 nucleotides) under plant metagenome. RNAcentral describes it as "partial contains 5.8S ribosomal RNA, internal transcribed spacer 2, and large subunit ribosomal RNA". The stretch from base 1 to 105 matches the Rfam family "5.8S ribosomal RNA", at positions 50 to 154 of the family's 154-position model. The record is from RNAcentral.